RNAcentral lists this ribosomal RNA (329 nucleotides) under Eisenia balatonica. Its description in RNAcentral is "partial 12S ribosomal RNA". It matches the Rfam family "Bacterial small subunit ribosomal RNA", at positions 950 to 1520 of the family's 1533-position model. The record is from RNAcentral. Lineage: Eukaryota; Metazoa; Annelida; Clitellata; Crassiclitellata; Lumbricidae.
CUCGAUAAUCCACGAACACCUUACCCCUCCUAGAUCUAUCAGCUUGUGUACUGCCGUCGUAAGCAUACCUCUAAAAGUAAAAAGUAUACGAAUAUGGCUAAUCCCCAUUUACGUCAGGUCAAAGUGCAGCUAAUGAAGGGGUGAUGAUGGGUUACACCCUAAAUAAAGACACGAAAUAUAGCUUUAAACCCUAUAUAAAGGUGGACUUGGCUGUAAUGCUGUUCAAAACAGAAUGAAACUGAAUCUAAGACAUGCACACAUCGCCCGUCACUCUCGCCCAAAGGUGAGAUAAGUCGUAACAAAGUAGGUGUAACGGAAGUUGCACCUGU